Bison bison bison is the source of this 65-nucleotide microRNA precursor. Lineage: Eukaryota; Metazoa; Chordata; Mammalia; Artiodactyla; Bovidae. The record is from Ensembl.
UCACCCCAGUCUCUAGUGAGAGAGCCAUGGCGGCAGGGGCGUGGCUGUCCCUGGAGGUGGGACUG